UGAGUACGAGACACUACGGUGUCGAAGCAGUCUAUGUCAUACUUCCAAGAAAAGCUUGCACUGUCAUAAACAAAUAAUGCCUGUACCAUAACCGACACAGGUGGGUAGGUAGAGUGUACUAAGGGGCGCGAGAUAACUCUCUCUAAGGAACUCGGCAAAAUGACUCCGUAACUUCGGGAGAAGGAGUGCCUUAUAUUUUAUAAGGUUGCAAUAACAAGAUCCAAGCAACUGUUUACCAAAAACACAGGUCUCCGCUAAGUCGUAAGACGAUGUAUGGGGGCUGACGCCUGCCCAGUGCCAGAAGGUUAAAGAAGUUGGUUAGUAUUUGCGAAGCUGAUAACUGAAGCCCUGGUGAACGGCGGCCGUAACGAUAACGGUCCUAAGGUAGCGAAAUUCCUUGUCGGGUAAGUUCCGACCCGCACGAAAGGCGUAAUGAUUUGGAUACUGUCUCGGAGAGGGACUCGGUGAAAUAGACUUGUCUGUGAAGAUGCGGACUACUUGCACCAGGACAGAAAGACCCUAUGAAGCUUUACUGUAACUUGAAAUUGAAAUUGGGCUUUACUUGCGCAGUAUAGGUGGGAGGCUUUGAGAAUAUUCUUGCGGGAAUAUUGGAGCCAUUAGUGAGAUACCACUCUGAUAAUGUUAGAUUUCUAACUUUGUAUCAUUAUCUGGUCAAAGAACAGUUUCAGGCGGGCAGUUUGACUGGGGCGGCCGCCUCCUAAACGGUAACGGAGGCGCACAAAGGUUUCCUCUGAACGGGUAGAAAUCGUAUCUAGAGUGUAAAGGCAUAAGGAAGCUUGACUGUGAGACCUACAAGGCGAGCAGGGACGAAAGUCGGUCUUAGUGAUCUGACGGUGCUGAGUGGAAAGGCCGUCACUCAACGGAUAAAAGUUACUCUAGGAUAACAGGCUGAUCUCCCCCAAGAGUCCACAUCGACGGGGAGGUUUGGCACCUCGAUGUCGGCUCAUCGCAUCCUGGGGCGGUAGUACGUCCCAAGGGUUGGGCUGUUCGCCCAUGAAAGCGGUACGCGAGCUGGGUUCAGAACGUCGUGAGACAGUUCGGUCCAUAUCCGGUGUAAGCGUUAGAAUAUUGAGAGGAGCCUUCUUUAGUACGAGAGGACCGAGAAGGAUGCACCGCUGGUGUACCAGUUAUUGUGCCAACAGUAAACGCUGGGUAGCUAUGUGUGGAGUGGAUAACCGCUGAAAGCAUCUAAGUGGGAAGCCCACCUCAAGAUAAGUAUUCUUAUCACGUAAGUGAAUAAGGUCACGGUAAGACUAACCGUUUGAUAGGCAUUAAGUGUAAAUCUAGUAAUAGACGAGCUGAGAUGUACUAACAGACCGAAGACUUGA
This 1349-nucleotide ribosomal RNA is filed under the name metagenome. RNAcentral's name for it is "bacterial LSU rRNA". It matches the Rfam family "Bacterial large subunit ribosomal RNA", at positions 1564 to 2925 of the family's 2925-position model. The record is from RNAcentral.